GAGAGUUUGAUCCUGGCUCAGGAUGAACGCUGGCGGCGUGCUUAACACAUGCAAGUCGAACGGUGAAGCAGAGCUUGCUCUGUGGAUCAGUGGCGAACGGGUGAGUAACACGUGAGCAAUCUGCCCCUGACUCUGGGAUAAGCGCUGGAAACGGCGUCUAAUACCGGAUACGAGCUGCGACCGCAUGGUCAGUAGCUGGAAAGAAUUUCGGUCAGGGAUGAGCUCGCGGCCUAUCAGCUUGUUGGUGAGGUAAUGGCUCACCAAGGCGUCGACGGGUAGCCGGCCUGAGAGGGUGACCGGCCACACUGGGACUGAGACACGGCCCAGACUCCUACGGGAGGCAGCAGUGGGGAAUAUUGCACAAUGGGCGAAAGCCUGAUGCAGCAACGCCGCGUGAGGGAUGACGGCCUUCGGGUUGUAAACCUCUUUUAGCAGGGAAGAAGCGAAAGUGACGGUACCUGCAGAAAAAGCGCCGGCUAACUACGUGCCAGCAGCCGCGGUAAUACGUAGGGCGCAAGCGUUAUCCGGAAUUAUUGGGCGUAAAGAGCUCGUAGGCGGUCUGUCGCGUCUGCUGUGAAAACCCGAGGCUCAACCUCGGGCCUGCAGUGGGUACGGGCAGACUAGAGUGCGGUAGGGGAGAUUGGAAUUCCUGGUGUAGCGGUGGAAUGCGCAGAUAUCAGGAGGAACACCGAUGGCGAAGGCAGAUCUCUGGGCCGUAACUGACGCUGAGGAGCGAAAGGGUGGGGAGCAAACAGGCUUAGAUACCCUGGUAGUCCACCCCGUAAACGUUGGGAACUAGUUGUGGGGUCCAUUCCACGGAUUCCGUGACGCAGCUAACGCAUUAAGUUCCCCGCCUGGGGAGUACGGCCGCAAGGCUAAAACUCAAAGGAAUUGACGGGGACCCGCACAAGCGGCGGAGCAUGCGGAUUAAUUCGAUGCAACGCGAAGAACCUUACCAAGGCUUGACAUAUAGAGGAAACGUCUGGAAACAGUCGCCCCGCAAGGUCUCUAUACAGGUGGUGCAUGGUUGUCGUCAGCUCGUGUCGUGAGAUGUUGGGUUAAGUCCCGCAACGAGCGCAACCCUCGUUCUAUGUUGCCAGCACGUAAUGGUGGGAACUCAUGGGAUACUGCCGGGGUCAACUCGGAGGAAGGUGGGGAUGACGUCAAAUCAUCAUGCCCCUUAUGUCUUGGGCUUCACGCAUGCUACAAUGGCCGGUACAAAGGGCUGCAAUACCGUGAGGUGGAGCGAAUCCCAAAAAGCCGGUCCCAGUUCGGAUUGAGGUCUGCAACUCGACCUCAUGAAGUCGGAGUCGCUAGUAAUCGCAGAUCAGCAACGCUGCGGUGAAUACGUUCCCGGGUCUUGUACACACCGCCCGUCAAGUCAUGAAAGUCGGUAGCACCUGAAGCCGGUGGCCCAACCCUUGUGGAGGGAGCCGUCGAAGGUGGGAUCGGUAAUUAGGACUAAGUCGUAACAAGGUAGCCGUA
Molecule: ribosomal RNA, 1485 nt
Filed under: Microbacterium sp. WJ19
Lineage: Bacteria; Bacillati; Actinomycetota; Actinomycetes; Micrococcales; Microbacteriaceae
Description: 16S ribosomal RNA
Rfam family: Bacterial small subunit ribosomal RNA
Source: RNAcentral